UACGUAGGGUGCAAGCGUUGUCCGGAAUUAUUGGGCGUAAAGAGCUCGUAGGCGGUUUGUUGCGUCGGCUGUGAAAUCCCGAGGCUCAACCUCGGGUCUGCAGUCGAUACGAGCAAACUAGAGUGUUGCAGGGGAGACUGGAAUUCCUGGUGUAGCGGUGAAAUGCGCAGAUAUCUGGAAGAACACCAGUGGCGAAGGCGGU
Molecule: ribosomal RNA, 202 nt
Filed under: uncultured bacterium
Lineage: Bacteria
Description: partial 16S ribosomal RNA
Rfam family: Bacterial small subunit ribosomal RNA
Source: RNAcentral